ACACCGUUAGCUCAGCGGGUAGAGCCGUUGUCUUCGAAACAACCGGUCGCCGAUUCGAAUCCGGCACGGUGUC
RNAcentral lists this transfer RNA (73 nucleotides) under Ewingella americana. Its description in RNAcentral is "tRNA-Arg". It matches the Rfam family "tRNA". From Rfam's summary of the family: Transfer RNA (tRNA) molecules are approximately 80 nucleotides in length. Their secondary structure includes four short double-helical elements and three loops (D, anti-codon, and T loops). The record is from RNAcentral. Lineage: Bacteria; Pseudomonadati; Pseudomonadota; Gammaproteobacteria; Enterobacterales; Yersiniaceae.